Molecule: ribosomal RNA, 467 nt
Filed under: Ovis aries (sheep)
Lineage: Eukaryota; Metazoa; Chordata; Mammalia; Artiodactyla; Bovidae
Description: partial 12S ribosomal RNA
Source: RNAcentral
UAUAGGUUUGGUCCCAGCCUUCCUGUUAACUUUCAAUAGACUUAUACAUGCGAGCAUCCACGCCCCGGUGAGUAACGCCCUUCGAAUCACACAGGACUAAAAGGAGCAGGUAUCAAGCACACACUCUUGUAGCUCACAACGCCUUGCUUAACCACACCCCCACGGGAGACAGCAGUAACAAAAAUUAAGCCAUAAACGAAAGUUUGACUAAGCCAUAUUGACUAGGGUUGGUAAAUCUCGUGCCAGCCACCGCGGUCAUACGAUUGACCCAAGCUAACAGGAGUACGGCGUAAAGCGUGUUAAAGCAUCAUACUAAAUAGAGUUAAAUUUUAAUUAAACUGUAAAAAGCCAUAAUUAUAACAAAAAUAAAUGACGAAAGUAACCCUACAAUAGCUGAUACACCAUAGCUAAGACCCAAACUGGGAUUAGAUACCCCACUAUGCUUAGCCCUAAACACAAAUAAUUAU